Molecule: long non-coding RNA, 460 nt
Filed under: Equus caballus (horse)
Lineage: Eukaryota; Metazoa; Chordata; Mammalia; Perissodactyla; Equidae
Description: lncRNA (ENSECAG00000052764.1)
Source: RNAcentral
GUUUCUCUUGAUGAAACCAGACAUUCCAGCUCUCUUUUCCUGCCUCCAAGACUCCAAGCUCACCUUGAGAGUUUCCUCGGAAUUGACUGCUACACCCACUUCAAUAGGAUUGACCUUUUUGUUGAGGGCCUUCCAAGAACACCAUGAUGAAGUGGAAGGAGAUCGUUCACAGGGAUGAACACUUACCAAAGACUGAGCCCAGGGUACUUGCUGAUGGAUUCCCAGACUCAAAAGCCUCUGAGAUUGAAGAACUAAAACACUUUGUCCUGGCCACUGACCACAAACCAGAGCUAAAGGACACACAAAGCCUCAGAGGACUCAGAACCAGGAACUUCUAAAGUGUCCACUCAGCUUAGCAGAGUCUCUGUGGCACAGAAUGGGUGAUAGUAUAGAAGCAUGGUGGCUUGUUGUUCUAAAUAAUGUUAGGAAAACUGGGGCACUCAUAAAUAUAGAAACAGAG